GACGGAACAGAGGGUCAUCAGGCAGCGGGCAGGAGCGCAGCGCUUCCCCGGGUUUUCCUAUAUGACCGAGGAAGGGACAACGACAGGCGAGGCUGGUAGUUAGGGGAGGAUCGGAAGGGAGUGACAGCGACGAACAGCGCAGAAGGUUGGCACCAGCGAAGAUGACAGCGCGCAGGGCUAAAGCGAAGGGCGCGCAAGGCGCCGGGAGGGACCGGUCACGAAGCAGCCAUCAGAGGGUAGCUGACGUAGUUGACAGGGACCCCCGCGGGG
Pelobates cultripes (western spadefoot toad) is the source of this 270-nucleotide non-coding RNA. Lineage: Eukaryota; Metazoa; Chordata; Amphibia; Anura; Pelobatidae. The record is from the annotation of a GenBank genome assembly.